CUACGGGGGGCAGCAGUGGGGAAUAUUGGACAAUGGGGGAAACCCUGAUCCAGCAAUGCCGCGUGUGUGAAGAAGGCCUGCGGGUUGUAAAGCACUUUCGGUUGGGAGGACUGCUUCUAGCACUAAUAUUGUUGGAAGUUGACGUUACCUUCAGAAGAAGCACCGGCUAACUCCGUGCCAGGCAGCCGCGGUAAUACGGGAGGUGCAAGCGUUAAUCGGAAUUACGGGGCGUAAAGCGCGCGUAGGCGGCUAGAUCAGUCGGGUGUGAAAGCCCCGGGCUUAACCUGGGAACUGCAUCCGAUACUGUCUAGAUUGAGUACAGGAGAGGAGAGUGGAAUUCCACAUGUAGCGGUGAAAUGCGUAGAUAUGUGGAGGAACACCAAUGGCGAAGGCAGCUCUCUGGCCUGAUACUGACGCUGAGGUGCGAAAGCGUGGGGAGCAAACAGGAUUAGAUACCCCUGUAGUC
This 466-nucleotide ribosomal RNA is filed under the name uncultured bacterium. RNAcentral describes it as "partial 16S ribosomal RNA". It matches the Rfam family "Bacterial small subunit ribosomal RNA", at positions 339 to 795 of the family's 1533-position model. The record is from RNAcentral.